RNAcentral lists this non-coding RNA (104 nucleotides) under Paenibacillaceae bacterium GAS479. RNAcentral's name for it is "Purine riboswitch aptamer". It matches the Rfam family "Purine riboswitch aptamer". From Rfam's summary of the family: Riboswitches are metabolite binding domains within certain messenger RNAs that serve as precision sensors for their corresponding targets. Allosteric rearrangement of mRNA structure is mediated by ligand binding, and this results in modulation of gene expression. RNAcentral also lists the same sequence under 1 other name. Lineage: Bacteria; Bacillati; Bacillota; Bacilli; Caryophanales; Paenibacillaceae. The record is from Rfam by way of RNAcentral.
AAAGACAAAACGAAUAAAGCUCGUAUAAUAAUGGGGAUAUGGCCCAUAAGUUUCUACCGGAUGACCAAUGUAAUCAUCCGACUAUGAGUGAGAGCGCCCGCGCC